RNAcentral lists this ribosomal RNA (253 nucleotides) under uncultured bacterium. Its description in RNAcentral is "partial 16S ribosomal RNA". It matches the Rfam family "Bacterial small subunit ribosomal RNA", at positions 524 to 776 of the family's 1533-position model. The record is from RNAcentral.
GACAGAGGGUGCAAACGUUGCUCGGAAUCACUGGGCGUAAAGGGCGUGUAGGCGGGACGGUAAGUCGGGCGUGAAAUCCCUAGGCUCAACCUAGGAACUGCACUCGAAACUACCAUUCUUGAGUGUCGGAGAGGAAAGCGGAAUUCCUGGUGUAGAGGUGAAAUGCGCAGAUAUCAGGAAGAACACCCGUGGCGAAGGCGGCUCUCUGGGACGGUACUGACGCUGAGACGCGAAAGCGUGGGGAGCGAACAGG